Diachasma alloeum is the source of this 1544-nucleotide long non-coding RNA. RefSeq lists it as uncharacterized. The transcript has 3 exons. The record is from RefSeq and is a predicted model, not a curated record. Lineage: Eukaryota; Metazoa; Arthropoda; Insecta; Hymenoptera; Braconidae.
CGAAAAUUAGUGGAUUCACAGUCAACAAUCGACAAUUCACGAUGAAUAAGCUUCUGAGUAUCUUCGUCAUCUUCGCCCUUAUCGCAAUGGCUCUUGCCCAGGGUGGCUCACCUAUGCCUGAGCCUAAGGGUAAACCUGAGCCUGAACCUAAGAUGUAAUCAUCUCUGUUACUAUCAUCUCUCGGGGAAUGCUGAAUUGAGAUGUCCACAUUGGAAAUUCCAUUUUUGAAAAUUGGCAUUAAUUGAAAAUAUCAUCAAAACUACAAUGAAAUAAAAAUUGGUACCUGAAAAUUACAAAAUUGGCUGUUGAUUCCGGUAAAUUUCUUCGCAAUAAAGAUUUUCCAUACAUUUUUGCUUUAUGAAGGAAUUAUUGUACUAGAUCGUUUAGACUCUGAAUACAUGAAUACAUGAGAAAUUCAAUAAUUUUCAUUUCGGUUGUGCAUUUAAAAUUGUUAACAAUUUGCGCAGCGGGGAUUUCGCUUUCUGAUUACCUAUAUUGUAUAAUUAUUUUUCGUGUAAUUUUUCCUUCGUGCACUAUGAGCCAUCCAUAAUCACCGAAUUAUGGACUCAUACAUUCAGCCAACAACAAUAUCAGGAUGCUCCCAGCUGUCGUGCCAUUAAAGCCUCUCGUACUGGGUCAUCGCGAUGCUACCUAAAUUUUCGUGACAUUCAUUUUUAUGCCCUCAUCGACCAUUUGGGGGCUCUUACGGCCACUCACCAUCAUUCAACCUUGCCAAUUUUGGAGUCCAACGUGCCCUCUUCGAUCAUCAUUAAAUUUUAAUCAAUACACUGUAUCGCAAAUUGGCGCAGGAAGAUAAUGACGUCAGAACUCCUUAUACUUUAUAGUUGACUCAAUACGAGGCGCCACUUCAUACCAUUCAUCACUUGUCGGAAACCCAAACCACUCAGGGCUUUGCGAAUCAGUUUUGUAAUUGGUAAAUUGUUGUCAUCUCAUUUCGUUUAAUAUUAAUUUUUCAUGCAGUUAGGAAAUGAAGGGGUUGGUGAACCAUUUUGAAACUACUCAUUCAUUUUAUCUAAUUGUUUCUUUGCCACUCUACAGUGGAACUUCCAUAACUGCUCACCUUCGUAAGUGCACACUGUCCAGUCGCACGCGGGGAAUCGUACCCCCACCACUACAAUUCCCCUUUAUGACCGUUCUCUCUCUAGCCUCUUUCGUUCUCUAUUCAAUGUGCGAAAACAGUGCGCAGUAGGCCGCCCUGUGGCUCUUUUCCCCACCAUUGCCUCUACACGCAUCUCUUUCUGACUCAGCGCUCUCGCUCUUUCGCUGGCGAAGAAGGGUCCUUUCGUAAGUGCAAAUUCCGAGAACCCGAACCCCGGGAGGCGUGCAGUUAUGGAAGUUCCACUCUGUUUUUAAUAUCUACGAGAAAAUUUCUCAAUUAUUGAUAUUAGUUUUUUGGCAUUAGUGUUCUGUAGUCAAUACUCGUGAUAUACACUUUUUGGAAAUAUUUUCUGAGUUACGUAGUUGCCUUUAAGAGCCAUCGAUGAAGAACAUGAAAAUAAAAAAUCAUGAAAUAUUCGUAUUAA